RNAcentral lists this ribosomal RNA (839 nucleotides) under uncultured Chloroflexota bacterium. RNAcentral's name for it is "bacterial SSU rRNA". It matches the Rfam family "Bacterial small subunit ribosomal RNA", at positions 28 to 896 of the family's 1533-position model. The record is from RNAcentral. Lineage: Bacteria; Bacillati; Chloroflexota.
GAUAAACGCUGGCGGUGUGCCUAAUGCAUGCAAGUCGAACGGUCCUUCGGGACAGUGGCGAACGGGUGAGUAACACGUAAGCAACCUGCCCCUAAGUGGGGGAUAACUUCGGGAAACUGGAGCUAAUACCGCAUGUGGUGGCCCUUCAACAGAAGGGUCAUUAAAGCCUUCGGGCGCUUGGGGAGGGGCUUGCGUCUGAUUAGCUUGUUGGUGAGGUAACGGCCCACCAAGGCAAUGAUCGGUAGCUGGUCUGAGAGGAUGAUCAGCCACACUGGGACUGAGACACGGCCCAGACUCCUACGGGAGGCAGCAGCAAGGAAUAUUGUGCAAUGGGCGAAAGCCUGACACAGCGACACCGCGUGGGGGAAGAAGGUCUUCGGAUUGUAAACCCCUUUUCUCAGGGAAGAAUAAUGACGGUACCUGGGGAAUAAGUCUCGGCUAACUACGUGCCAGCAGCCGCGGUAAUACGUAGGAGGCAAGCGUUAUCCGGAUUUAUUGGGCGUAAAGCGCGUGUAGGCGGCUUUUCAAGUCGGAUGUAAAAUCUCCCGGCUCAACUGGGAGGGCCCAUUCGAUACUGUUGGGCUAGAGUGCAGCAGAGGGAGGUGGAAUUCCCGGUGUAGUGGUGAAAUGCGUAGAUAUCGGGAGGAACACCAGUGGCGAAGGCGGCCUCCUGGGCUGCAACUGACGCUGAGACGCUAAAGCGUGGGGAGCGAACAGGAUUAGAUACCCUGGUAGUCCACGCCGUAAACGAUGGACACUAGGUAUGGGGAGUAUCGACCCUCUCCGUGCCGUAGCUAACGCAUUAAGUGUCCCGCCUGGGGAGUACGGCCGCAAGGCUA